This 441-nucleotide ribosomal RNA is filed under the name uncultured bacterium. RNAcentral's name for it is "partial 16S ribosomal RNA". It matches the Rfam family "Bacterial small subunit ribosomal RNA", at positions 338 to 795 of the family's 1533-position model. The record is from RNAcentral.
CAUACGGGUGGCAGCAGUGGGGAAUAUUGGGCAAUGGGCGCAAGCCUGACCCAGCAACGCCGCGUGAAGGAAGAAGGCUUUCGGGUUGUAAACUUCUUUUGACAGGGAAGAGUAGAAGACGGUACCUGUCGAAUAAGCCCCGGCUAACUACGUGCCAGCAGCCGCGGUAAUACGUAGGGGGCGAGCGUUAUCCGGAUUUAUUGGGCGUAAAGCGUGCGUAGGCGGUUUGUUAAGUCCAGAAUUAAAGCCCGAGGCUUAACCUCGGUUCGUUCUGGAAACUGGCAGACUAGAGUAUGGUAGAGGCAAAUGGAAUUCCUAGUGUAGCGGUGAAAUGCGUAGAUAUUAGGAGGAACACCAGUGGCGAAGGCGAUUUGCUGGGCCAUCACUGACGCUGAGGUACGAAAGCGUGGGGAGCAAAUAGGAUUAGAUACCCCAGUAGUC